CCUACGGGUGGCAGCAGUGGGGGAUAUUGCACAAUGGGGGAAACCGUGAUGCAGCGACGCCGCGUGUGGGAAGACGGUGCUCUGGAUUGUAAACCACUGUUCCCAGGGACGAAGAUGACGCUACCUGGCGUGAAAGCUGCGGCUAACUACGUGCCAGCAGCCGCGGUAAUACGGAGGGACCGAGCGUUGGCCGGAAUUACUGGGUGUAAAGGGAGCGUAGGCGGAUAUGGAAGUUGGGGGUAAAAACUACCGGCUCAACUGGGAGUCGCCCUCAAAACUGCAGCUCUUGAGUGAAGUAGAGGCAGGCGGAAUGCCGAGUGUAGCGGUGAAAUGCGUAGAUAUUAGGCGGAACACCAGUGGCGAAGGCGGCAUGCCGGGGUUGUACUGACGCUGAGGCUCGAAAGUGUGGGGAGCGAACAGGAUUAGAUACCCGGGUAGUC
This 440-nucleotide ribosomal RNA is filed under the name uncultured bacterium. RNAcentral describes it as "partial 16S ribosomal RNA". It matches the Rfam family "Bacterial small subunit ribosomal RNA", at positions 338 to 795 of the family's 1533-position model. The record is from RNAcentral.